GAACGCUAGCUACAGGCUUAACACAUGCAAGUCGAGGGGCAUCAGGAAGAAAGCUUGCUUUCUUUGCUGGCGACCGGCGCACGGGUGAGUAACACGUAUCCAACCUGCCCUUUACUCGGGGAUAGCCUUUCGAAAGAAAGAUUAAUACCCGAUAGCAUAAUGAUUCCGCAUGGUUUCAUUAUUAAAGGAUUCCGGUAAAGGAUGGGGAUGCGUUCCAUUAGGUUGUUGGUGGGGUAACGGCCCACCAAGCCUUCGAUGGAUAGGGGUUCUGAGAGGAAGGUCCCCCACAUUGGAACUGAGACACGGUCCAAACUCCUACGGGAGGCAGCAGUGAGGAAUAUUGGUCAAUGGGCGCUAGCCUGAACCAGCCAAGUAGCGUGAAGGAUGAAGGCUCUAUGGGUCGUAAACUUCUUUUAUAUAAGAAUAAAGUGCAGUAUGUAUACUGUUUUGUAUGUAUUAUAUGAAUAAGGAUCGGCUAACUCCGUGCCAGCAGCCGCGGUAAUACGGAGGAUCCGAGCGUUAUCCGGAUUUAUUGGGUUUAAAGGGAGCGUAGGUGGACUGGUAAGUCAGUUGUGAAAGUUUGCGGCUCAACCGUAAAAUUGCAGUUGAUACUGUCAGUCUUGAGUACAGUAGAGGUGGGCGGAAUUCGUGGUGUAGCGGUGAAAUGCUUAGAUAUCACGAAGAACUCCGAUUGCGAAGGCAGCUCACUGGACUGCAACUGACACUGAUGCUCGAAAGU
This 739-nucleotide ribosomal RNA is filed under the name uncultured organism. RNAcentral's name for it is "SSU rRNA". It matches the Rfam family "Bacterial small subunit ribosomal RNA", at positions 31 to 760 of the family's 1533-position model. The record is from RNAcentral.